This 552-nucleotide ribosomal RNA is filed under the name uncultured Alphaproteobacteria bacterium. RNAcentral's name for it is "bacterial SSU rRNA". It matches the Rfam family "Bacterial small subunit ribosomal RNA", at positions 342 to 912 of the family's 1533-position model. The record is from RNAcentral. Lineage: Bacteria; Pseudomonadati; Pseudomonadota; Alphaproteobacteria.
CGGGAGGCAGCAGUGGGGAAUAUUGGACAAUGGGCGCAAGCCUGAUCCAGCCAUGCCGCGUGAGUGAUGAAGGCCUUAGGGUUGUAAAGCUCUUUUGUCCGGGACGAUAAUGACGGUACCGGAAGAAUAAGCCCCGGCUAACUUCGUGCCAGCAGCCGCGGUAAUACGAAGGGGGCUAGCGUUGCUCGGAAUCACUGGGCGUAAAGGGCGCGUAGGCGGCCGAUUAAGUCGGGGGUGAAAGCCUGUGGCUCAACCACAGAAUUGCCUUCGAUACUGGUUGGCUUGAGACCGGAAGAGGACAGCGGAACUGCGAGUGUAGAGGUGAAAUUCGUAGAUAUUCGCAAGAACACCAGUGGCGAAGGCGGCUGUCUGGUCCGGUUCUGACGCUGAGGCGCGAAAGCGUGGGGAGCAAACAGGAUUAGAUACCCUGGUAGUCCACGCCGUAAACGGUGAAUGCCAGCCGUUGGCCUGCUUGCAGGUCAGUGGCGCCGCUAACGCAUUAAGCAUUCCACCUGGGGAGUACGUUCGCAAGAAUGAAACUCAAAUGAAUUG